Molecule: small nucleolar RNA, 129 nt
Organism: Nannospalax galili (Upper Galilee mountains blind mole rat)
Lineage: Eukaryota; Metazoa; Chordata; Mammalia; Rodentia; Spalacidae
Source: Ensembl
GCUGAGGUCUAUCCCAAUGGAACUUCUAUAGCCACACGUCAUUAGAAACCCCUCAUAGAAUAACUCUGUGGCUUUGUUUUACUCAAGGAACUACUUAUCAGAUAGUGGGGAAAAAACCACAAAACAGUU